RNAcentral lists this long non-coding RNA (268 nucleotides) under Elaeis guineensis (African oil palm). RNAcentral describes it as "long non-coding RNA (EGUI_LNC000543)". Lineage: Eukaryota; Viridiplantae; Streptophyta; Magnoliopsida; Arecales; Arecaceae. The record is from RNAcentral.
CCUUCGUCCAUCAUGAAUUACUUUAACAGUCUUUCAUCUCAUACCACAAAUGCGAUGUAAUGCUUCAGUAACCACAUUGUAAAGAAAGGGUGCGAACAUUAUCACUUCACCAAAGUCUCUCAAAGGAAUGACAAUGACAACACUUCUAAUGGUAUUUAGUGAGCCAAUGCAAAAUCUCUGUCCACUGUCCAAUCCAUCAGUAACUUGAAGCGUUUCAGCAGAAAUUCCCUUGUGACAUCGCUCAGAUUCUCUUUUUUUUUUAUUUCAG